Molecule: ribosomal RNA, 497 nt
Filed under: uncultured bacterium
Lineage: Bacteria
Description: partial 16S ribosomal RNA
Rfam family: Bacterial small subunit ribosomal RNA
Source: RNAcentral
GAUGAACGCUGGCGGCAUGCCUAAUACAUGCAAGUCGAGCGGCCACACAGUAAGCUUUUUCCUUUACCGUUAGCGGCGGACGGGUGGGUAACACGUGCAUCGCCUUCUUCUUUUACUUGGAUAACUACGUGGAAACGGUUCCAAUACUAGAUAAUAUCUUCAACGGCUUGGUUCAAUGGUUCUACACGCCUUUCGCGUUUCUUUUAGCUGGUUCCGGGUUGGAUUAGCUAGUUGGUAAGGUACCGGCUUACCAAGGCGACGAUGCUGAGCCGACCUGAGAGGGUGAUCGGCCACACUGGAACUGAGACACGGUCCAGACUCCUACGGGAGGCAGCAGUAGGGAAUAUUCGGCAAUGGGCGAAAGCCUGACGCAGCAAUGCCGCGUGAGUGAUGAAGGCCUUCGGAUCGUAAAGCUCUGUUAUUGGGGAAGAAAAGAUGUGGAAGAAAACACGGAUGUCUUGACGGUACCAAAAGAAAAAGCAACGGCUAACUACGUG